Non-coding RNA from Pelobates cultripes (western spadefoot toad), 101 nucleotides. The record is from the annotation of a GenBank genome assembly. Lineage: Eukaryota; Metazoa; Chordata; Amphibia; Anura; Pelobatidae.
GUGUGUGUGUGUAUAUGUGUGUGUGUGUGUGUGUAUAUAUAUAUAUAUAUAUAUAUAUAUUGUGUGUGUAUAUAUACACACACACACACACACACACACUG